CCCGAAUGGGGAAACCCAGUGUGACUCGUCACACUAUCAUUAACUGAAUCCAUAGGUUAAUGAGGCGAACCGGGGGAACUGAAACAUCUAAGUACCCCGAGGAAAAGAAAUCAACCGAGAUUCCCCCAGUAGCGGCGAGCGAACGGGGAGGAGCCCAGAGCCUGAAUCAGCAUGUGUGUUAGUGGAAGCGUCUGGAAAGGCGCGCGAUACAGGGUGACAGCCCCGUACACAAAAGCGCAUGUGCUGUGAGCUCGAUGAGUAGGGCGGGACACGUGGUAUCCUGUCUGAAUAUGGGGGGACCAUCCUCCAAGGCUAAAUACUCCUGACUGACCGAUAGUGAACCAGUACCGUGAGGGAAAGGCGAAAAGAACCCCGGCGAGGGGAGUGAAAAAGAACCUGAAACCGUGUACGUACAAGCAGUGGGAGCA
This 428-nucleotide ribosomal RNA is filed under the name Salmonella enterica subsp. enterica serovar Cerro str. CFSAN001590. Its description in RNAcentral is "bacterial LSU rRNA". It matches the Rfam family "Bacterial large subunit ribosomal RNA", at positions 113 to 581 of the family's 2925-position model. The record is from RNAcentral. Lineage: Bacteria; Pseudomonadati; Pseudomonadota; Gammaproteobacteria; Enterobacterales; Enterobacteriaceae.